CAGGCGGCCGCGGGCGGAUCGGGUCUGCACGGCCGCGCGGCGUGGUCUCCGGAUCAGACGGGAAGCAGCUGAGGGCUGAUUCUCAUCUUGGCUGCAUCCGGGUGAACGAUGCUUUGAAGAGCAGCCCGCAGAUGAUCUGAUGCUCAAGAUGCCGCCUUGGCCGUGCUUUAGGGCUCCAGUGUCCACCACGGAGGAGCCCAGGUCUGAAUCUCUGCAGAGGUGCUCCAAGAAACCACUCCAUCGGGUCCGGGCAGGGAUGCGCUUCCUGCCGYGAGCUGUUCCCUCCUGUUGUCUUCCGUGCUUUUGGGAGCCAUCCCGGCCCGUGCUGGCCGGGAGUCCCGUGCAGACUCCCAGCUCCCGCGCUGGCCGGGCUGCCUGAGCCCGCUGCUGGUCCCCCGCGAGUGGCUCCGCUCCGAGCAGGGUGAACCGCGCAAUGAGCAGCAGACAACGGGAGAUGCGGCAGCUGCUUCCGCCGGAGCCGCUGGAGGAAGCUCUCGCGCGGCUGCAGGAGACCCGGCAGCGCCGUCGGGGCGGCAGCGUGGGCAGGGUGCUGCUGAUGGGCGCUCGCCUCCGAGCUGCCCGCUCCUCGCUGGCCGCGGACGAGGCGGUGUGRGCGGACGGUGCCUCCAGCCCAGGAGCUGCCUGCCGUGGGGCGUGCAAGGCCGAGGCUGCGGGUCCUGCUCCGGAGGCCCUGCUCUCGCUGGGGUUGAAGCUGGAAGGAUGCGUUUGCAUUCCCAGAUCUCUUCAGGAUCCCUUUUCCCCAUGUGGGGCAGUGCCAGGGACUCCCAGGUGAUGAGUCUCGGGGGCUCGUUGGGUCUCGCAGGACGGAGGGGCUCCUUCGAGCCUUCCUGCUGCCGCCGGGGCCCGCGCGUCCCUCCUGUUUGGCGACCGACCCUCGUGGCAGAGCCGUGCAGCGACGAGGGCUGUGUGUGAGCGGAGUUUGGAUUCCCAGGUCAUCUUCUCCCAGAUCCAGCAGGACAUAUCUCAGCUUCAUGGCCAGUUAGUUAUGGGCAAUGUAUUAAUUACUUUCUUAUGAGCAUCUGACCCACUGGCAAUUUUGAAAGGACUGUUAAGGUCGGCCSUGGUGCCUCAGCUUCCAAUCUCAGCUUCGGUCUGGGAACCAGCUAGUGCAAACUUCCCAUUUUUGUCCAUUCAGAAAAGGAGAAACAGUAAAAAAGACCUGGAAAUGUUGGAACCAGUUAUGUUAAAUGUYGUAAGGCUGGGGAGCUCUCGUCUCUUAAACAUCACUUUUCUUGAAAGCUGGCGAUGGGUUUCUUUUCCUCAUCUCAAACCCUGUGAGGUGGCUGUGCAGGAGAUGCGGAUUUGCAAGGGAGAGGAUCGGGGCAAUGGGAUCUCUCUCUUCCCAGCGCGUGGCCUGGAGCAUCCGGCAUUCCCRGCCGCGUGCCGAGGGCGGGCAGGCAGCGUGUGGGCAGCCCUGCAGCRGCGACCGCGCACGGACCAUCUGGAGAGCCCAGAAACCGCUUCUGCAGCGAUGCUGUACAAGUGUCUGAGAUGGAUUUGUGAGAGCACCGGAUGAAGAGGCAGCUAGGGCCAGCCUCAUACCGAGAUCAAAUAAAUACAAAUACAGCGAAAUUAUUCA
RNAcentral lists this long non-coding RNA (1600 nucleotides) under Dromaius novaehollandiae (emu). RNAcentral describes it as "lncRNA (ENSDNVG00000013456.1)". Lineage: Eukaryota; Metazoa; Chordata; Aves; Casuariiformes; Dromaiidae. The record is from RNAcentral.